RNAcentral lists this ribosomal RNA (253 nucleotides) under uncultured bacterium. RNAcentral's name for it is "partial 16S ribosomal RNA". It matches the Rfam family "Bacterial small subunit ribosomal RNA", at positions 524 to 776 of the family's 1533-position model. The record is from RNAcentral.
UACGUAGGGUGCGAGCGUUAAUCGGAAUUACUGGGCGUAAAGCGUGCGCAGGCGGUCUGUUAAGACAGGUGUGAAAUCCCCGGGCUUAACCUGGGAAUUGCGCUUGUUACUGGCAGGCUAGAGUGUGUCAGAGGGAGGUGGAAUUCCACGUGUAGCAGUGAAAUGCGUAGAGAUGUGGAGGAACACCGAUGGCGAAGGCAGCCUCCUGGGAUAACACUGACGCUGAGGCACGAAAGCGUGGGGAGCAAACAGG